Molecule: ribosomal RNA, 448 nt
Filed under: uncultured bacterium
Lineage: Bacteria
Description: partial 16S ribosomal RNA
Rfam family: Bacterial small subunit ribosomal RNA
Source: RNAcentral
UGGGGAAUAUUGCACAAUGGGCGCAAGCCUGAUGCAGCCAUGCCGCGUGUGUGAAGAAGGCCUUAGGGUUGUAAAGCACUUUCAGCGAGGAGGAAGGCAUCAUACUUAAUACGUGUGGUGAUUGACGUUACUCGCAGAAGAAGCACCGGCUAACUCCGUGCCAGCAGCCGCGGUAAUACGGAGGGUGCAAGCGUUAAUCGGAAUUACUGGGCGUAAAGCGCACGCAGGCGGUUUGUUAAGUCAGAUGUGAAAUCCCCGCGCUUAACGUGGGAACUGCAUUUGAAACUGGCAAGCUAGAGUCUUGUAGAGGGGGGUAGAAUUCCAGGUGUAGCGGUGAAAUGCGUAGAGAUCUGGAGGAAUACCGGUGGCGAAGGCGGCCCCCUGGACAAAAGACUGACGCUCAGGUGCGAAAGCGUGGGGAGCAAACAGGAUUAGAGUACCCAUGGUA